This 35524-nucleotide long non-coding RNA is filed under the name Podarcis lilfordi (Lilford's wall lizard). The record is from RNAcentral. Lineage: Eukaryota; Metazoa; Chordata; Lepidosauria; Squamata; Lacertidae.
CAGCCAUUUCCCCUUUGUUUAUUUGCUAUGUACAGCUCACUCCUUAUCUGUAAUGACAUCAGAGAAAGGCAUGCCCUAAAUCCACCUUCUCCCACACUAAGGAUAAUUUAUGCUGGAAAUGUAAAGAGAAAGAAGGUACGUUUUAUCAUAUGUGGUGGACGUGUUCCAAGGUGAAAGACUUCUGGGAAAAGAUUUAUAAUGAAUUUUUAAAAAUGUUGAAAAAUACAUUUAUUAAGAAACCAGAGGCCUUCCUGCUUGGAAUAAUAGGAUCGGAAUUACCCAAGAAGGAUGUUAGAUUGUUUUUGUAUGCCACUACGGCAGCAAGACUUUUAUUAGCCAAAAAUUGGAAAUUGCAAGAAAUACCUACAAUAGAAGAGUGGCAGAUGAAGGUGAUGGACUUUUUAGAGCUGGCUGACCUGACUGGAAGAAUCCGUGACCAGAAAGAGGAGGAAACACAAGAAGACUGGAAGAAAUUCAAGGAAUAUUUACCUAGAUAUUGUAAUAUAAGAUAUUAAGAAAAGCUUAGAAGUAACAGAUUAGGCUGAGGGAUGGAAAAAAGGUUAACAAAUAGUGAAUAUUAUGGAUUACAAUAGGGAGUAAAGAUUAGAAAUUCGUAAUUUUUUUAAAAAAGAUAUUGGUGUUAUAAAAUAUGAAAUUGGGAACUGCUAAAUAUGUGAUAUGAUGAAAUUCGGAUUGGAGGGUGUCGAAGAAGUCUUUUAGCAAUGUAAAUAUACCAGGAAAUAAGAAGAAAUAAUUCUUCUUUCAUUGUUUUGUUUUUAUUGUUGUUAUGUUUUUAUGUUGUGUUAAGUAUAAUGUUUUUCUUUUGUGUUUAUGUUUUUGUGUUAUAAGAGAAAAUCAACAAUUUUUUGGAAAAUAAAUAAAUAAAUAAAUAAAUAAAUCCACCUUCCUAUUUUGAUUCUCUGGCAUCCUAUCUGCAUAACCUAGCAAUCCCAAAAUAUAGACGUGCUUUUACUCUCGCAAGAUUGAAUGUCUUGCCCUCGGCUGUACAGAUUCCUCACGAAAAACACUUACGUCCAUGUGGAGAUGGCAGUACCGAAUGGGUGGCUUGUGCCCUUCUGGCUUGCACUCUUUAUAAAGACUUGAGGAAUGAGAUUAUCACCCUUCUUUUAUUGUCCAUUCUGGGUUGCCCAGCCACUGCCACAGUGUCUUUUCUCUUGGCAGAUCAAGAUGAGCAGGUGACAGCAAAGUUUGCAAGGUUUUUAGCUGGGGCAAUCAGAGUAAGAUCCACCAUUCAGGACCUUAAACUAUGUUUUAUAUAAUCAACUUUUUAUUUCUGUGUAUAUUGCAAUGUUAUUUUGUUGCUACGGCCUAUGGCAGACGCAAAUAAAGUUUCAUUCAUUCAUUCAAGUGCAUUUGAAAGACCUUCUUCCAUACAGACCCCCUCAAAGGUUGGAAGAAACCCUCCUAGCAGUUCUGCCAGUCUUAGAAGCUUUGGAUGUGGCUGCUUGGGAGAAGGGAGUUUUCCAUGACAGCCCCUCAGCUGUGUGUGGCAUUCCCUCUCCAAACAGAUACACCUGGCACCUUCAUUGUAUUGUUUCUUUACUCUGAUCUUUGACACCUAAUAUAUGUUUUUAGAACCCACCCAAGCUUCUGAGUGUACGUUGCUUUAACUGAUUUUCAUACACCCCGGGGAAGGCUUUGACUGGCUUGCUAAACCAGGUGAGGGUAGUUAGUGGGUCUCAAACCCUCAGUGAGUUAGGAACUUCCUCUGCAUGCAAAGACAGACUUCAGAGGAUUGAGUGGAUGAGACAAUAAUUUCUGCAUGUGCUGUAGAGGGAAGUGAUGGGCAGAUGGAACUUGUCCACCUGGGUAGACCAUCUAGGAGAAGGAAAACUCUGAUCCUAAACCUCCACUGCUUUGUGGGAUAUCUUUGGGAGAAGAAAAGGGUAAGGAGUGAACCCUACACAACUCUGGAGUGGAGUCCUUAAGACGGGUGCAUGGCACCUUUUGUGUCUCCUUCCAGCAACUCCUGCAGCCGAGCUGGUGCCAAACAUACUGCUCUGCUUUCCUUCAGACCCCAUCAGCGAGGCUGAGAGAAGGGGUCUUGUCAUCUUGGCAGCCCAGGACCUCCAGACAUACUACUCAGGCCUGCACUUUGGGGAUACAGCAGUUUGACUUGGAGGCGCACUCCAUUAUCUCUCGAGACAGCCAAUAACAAUCCAUCCUGGGACCUUAUGUCGAAGGCUAGGUAAGAAUUUCAGGAAAUAAAAUAAUAAUAAUAAUAAAAUAAAAUAGUUUUUCCUUUCGGUGUAUCUUUGAUGAUAAUGAUAAUUAAUAAUAAUAAUAAUACCCCAUCCAUCUGGCUGAAUUUCCCCAGCUAUUCUGGGUGGCUCCCAACAGAAUUAAAAGCACAAUAAAACAUCAGACAUUAAAAACGUCCCUAAACAGGGCUGCCUUCAGAUGUCUUCUAAGUCAGAUAGUUGUUUAUUUCCUUGAGAUCUGAUGGGAGGGUGGUCCACAGGGCGGGCACCACUACCGAGAAGGCCCCCUGCCUGGUUCCCUGUAGCUUCGCUUCUCACAGCAAGGGAACCACCAGAAGGCUCUCGGAGCUGGACCUCAGUGUCCGGGCCGAACGAUGGGGGUGGAGACGCUCCAUCAGGUAGGGAUGGAUCUAGCCCCAAUUAGUUCCCAUUGAAAUAAAAAAGUUAAAUUUCACACUGAUUUCUAUGGGAUCGAAGUGUGACUGAGGUUGCAAUCCUAUACCCACUUACCUGGGACUAACCCUCAUUUAAUUCACUAGGAUUUGCCUCUGAAUUGACAUGCAUAGGGUUGGUCUAGAACAUAUAGUCUGGAUCUUUCUCCUUCCCCAACAAACAUAGGAAGCUGCCUCCUGCUAAGUUAGACCAUUGCCCCAUUCCAUCUCUUUAUUGUCCACACUGACUGAUAGAAGCUCUCCAGGGUUUUGGACAGGACAGUCUCCCAGUCUACCUGGAGAUAUUGGGGAUUGAACCUGAGAUCUUCUACCAGCAAAGCAGAUGUUCUACCACUGAGCUAUGGCCUUCAAAGCUACUGUUUCAGACUUCCUAGCCAACUAUUCUGCAGUUCCUCCAUACUUACGCUGGCAAUCUGCCUUCUGCCUCCCUCGAGGCACAGAUCUGCUAAUGUCUGUAGGAAAAUGACUGUGACACUCAGAAAGUAGGGAUGGAUUUAUUCCAAAAUGAAAACACGAAGUCGGUGCAGUUUAGCUAACAAAAGACAUGUUGUUUAUACGCAUUAGGGGGAGGCAGAAGGCGGUGGAGAAAGUGAUGGCUUUAAGAGGUUAUUAAUCGAGGUAUAUAAAAUCCUAAUGGGCAAUGUCAUCCAAAGUUACAAUUUUCAUUCCAUCCGAGGAGAUAAUGCUCGGAAGGAAAAGAACGCACAAUGAGAUACGAGAAACUGUCAAGAAUCACUCGGUUACAGAAGUGGUAACUGACAUGUGGAAUGACCCCUAAGUCAAAGUCAUCCGAAGCAAAAACAUUAGGGUAAUUAAGAAACACUUAGAUGUUAUACAGGGAGAAAUGAUGAAUGGCCCUUGGCACAACAUGCAUUUGCCUAACCGGACUCCGCAGAGAAGCAAGCUCUCAGAGAUGCUUCCGAUUUAACCACUCUCCCACAAACUGUGAGAGAGAUUCUUAUACAUUGCUAUUACGUUCGCAAAGGUAAAUCUGUACUAUGCAAUUAUGGCUGCUCAUUGCUCAACCUUUUGGCUAUGCUGUUAGCUUUUAGCACCCAAUAUAGUGGUACCUCAGGUUACAAACACUUCAGGUUACAUACACUUCAGGUUACAGACUCCGCUAACCCAGAAAUAGUGCUUCAGGUUAAGAACUUUACUUCAGGUUGAGAACAGAAAUCGUGCUCCAGCGGCAUGGCAGCAGCAGGAGGCCCCAUUAGCUAAAGUGGUGCUUCAGGUUAAGAACAGUUUUAGGUUAAGAACGGACCUCCGGAACAAAUUAAGUGCUUAACCCGAGGUAUCACUGUAAUAAGGUGGGAUCACAGAUACCUUCUGAAGCCCUACUGUGCCCCAAGAAAAUUACAACAACAACAACAUCAUAAUUUUUUAUACCCCACCCAUUUGGCUGAGUUUCCCCAGCCAUUCUGGGCAGCUCCCAAUCAAGUGUUAAAAGCAAUACAGCAUUAAAUUAAAUAUUAAAAACUUCCCUAAACAGGGCUGCCUUCAGGCUGUCUUUUAAAAAUAGGAUAGCUUCUUAUUUCCUUGACAUCUGAUGGGAGGGUGUUCCACAGGGUGGGCACCAUUACCGAGAAGGCCCUCCGUUUGGUUCCAUGUAACCUCACUUCUCGCAAUGAGGGAACCACCAGAAGACCCCCGGAGCUGGAUCUCAGUGUCCAGGGGAGGCUGCAGGAGGUGGACAUGUUGUUUCUCCAGGUGAAAACAUAACCGAUAGGAAAGCAUCAGCUCAGUGACAUAUUGUGUUGCAUAUUGAGAGAAUGGACUUUGUGGCAGCAGGAGCAGGACACAUGUUAUAGAUCACAGUACUUGAAAUGGGUUUCACAGCCUGAAGUGCAUUGAAAAUGUUUGAGGGUUUCUCAUGUCUUAUGGUUUCUCAGUAGCUCUUGUUCCCAAAGCUACAGGUAAGCUUGGAAGGUUCCUUGUGAAAUAUAAAUGCUGAUAGUGUGUAUUUUCCAAAAUGACCUUGUGAAAUGCACACAUGUUCAUAAGGUGGGCUAGAAGCUAGACCAGAGGUUCUCAAACUGGUCUGCAAAUCUCCAGUGCUUUGUGGGCUUCAAUCAGGGAGAAUCAUGAGUAUAUCUGUACUUGGAUUCAGAAAGAAUACCGUAUUUUUCGCUCUAUAGGACGCACCCGACCAUAGGACGCACCUUAUUUUAGAGGGGGAGAACAAGAAAAAAAAAUCUCCCCCUCUCUGCACAGCGCCCCUUCAGCAAAGCAGCAGGAGAAAUGGAGCCCCUUCCAUUUUUCCUCCCGCUUAGCUGAAGGGGCACCUACCCUUCAGCGAAAGGUACCCGAAGCCUCCGGAGCACAGCGGGAGCUCCCACCGCGCUUUGGAGGCUUCAGGCGGCUAUCUUUGAAGCCUGGAGAGCGAGAGGGGUUGGUGCGCACUGGCCCCUCUCACUCUCCAGGCUUCAGUGAAGACAACCCGAAGCCUCCAGAGCGCAGCGGGGCGCUCCCACUGCGCUUCGGAGGCUUUGCGUUGCUAUCGCUGAAGCCAAGGAGCCUGCAUUCGCUCCAUAAGACGCACACACAUUUCCCCUUAAUUUUUGGAGGGGAAAAUGUGCAUCUUAUAAAGCGAAAAAUACAGUAUUUUCUGAUAGCAGGUCAAGGCCACUUGGGAGACCUGCAGAUAUAGAGUGGUAUACAAAUAAUAAUAAUAAUAAAUAAUAACAACAUCAAUAAUAAAUCAACCCAUCCACAAUGUAAGCUCUGUAUGCUUCCUCCUUUCCCCCAUCCAUGGCUUCUUGGAGUAGGUUCUGCAAUAAGCAGGACACAAAUGAAGGAGAAACAAGCUUUCUUCUCCUGGAUGAAGUAAAUGAAUCAUAUUUGGUCCUCGUUUGGAGGCCCCAGAACAUUUGCUUCUCAUUAUGCUACAGGGCUGUAGACAUGAUUACAUUAUUUUGAAAAGCAAAAAGAAAAAGAAAAAGAAAAAAACAUGUCUCUGGUGUUCUGGGAAGAAGAGGUACUGGGUGCAUAAACUAGUAUAAAAUUACAGGCCUGAUUAAAAGGAAGAUUUUCAGCUGCGGCUUCCAUGUCAGCUCUUCAUUAGAUUAAGAUUGUAUCUUACUAAAGCCAAGUACUGAAGCCAGCAUGGAACAUUCAUUUGGCAUAUGAAAAGAAACAUAUAUUUGGUCAACAAUGCUUCAAGAGUGUCUCAGCUCACUGGCGGGAUUUACAGGGGAUGUGGGCAGAUAGGUAAAUGGGUAAGCAGGAAGGAAAGCCAUUGCAAAUGGCUUAGGCUGCAACCCUAAGCACAUUUACUCAGAAGUACGUCCUAGUUAAUUCAUUGAGGCCAGGUAAGCGGGGGUGGGGCUCCAGCCUAAGAUCCCAAGAUAAGUUAACCAAAGAAGUUCACAGAAGGUAAGUUUUCUGUUGCCUCCUCCUCUCCACCCUGCAGCCACCAGCACCCCUAGAAGUCUCUCCAGAGAACAGGGAACUCUUCUGAACAAUGUUCUGAGAGAGGAGGGGCUGAGAAUUGUUUCUAUGAACUUCCCUAAGUUAACUUACAUUAGGAUCCAAGCCAAUAUCAGAGGAUUUAGGGUAGUGCAAGUUAUGUGGUCACACGGGGCACACAGCAGAGGAGGGUGCCUUCUCUGGCAAAAAAAAGGAGGAAUUGUGAGGACUCCCAAAGGUAUCUCCCCAAACUGGGUGAAUGGGCAAUUUGAACUGUCAAAUUCAAUCCUGUCUACUGCCCUCAGUGCUGAAGGCACCUUGCCUUUGAUUACUAGCUGCUGGAGAAUAUGAGUGGGAGAAUUUUGUUGUGCCCAUGUCCUGUUUGUUGACUUCCCAUGGGCAUCAGGUUGGGAAAAUAAGGGUCUAAUCCAGCAGGACUCCUACUAUCUUCUUCUGUUCUUAAAAUUAUUGGCAGCAGGAGGGAGGAGUGAAGCUAAAUGACCAGAAUUGUGAAAAUCUGCUUCUCUGUUUCCCAAUCACAAUUUAAACUUUUUAGCAAGGAGUGUAUGCAGCCCCGGCUAUUGCUUCUGCGAACAGCCUCACUAAAGUUAAACUUUAUACUUUCUUGUGCCUGCAGGUAUAGCGUUCCGAGGAUUCUUCACGGAAGAUAUUGGCCAAGACAUCAAUUCUGGAAUUAAUCACUUAAUCAAACGAUAGAUCCUCCCAUAGCUUGUCAGCAUGAUUUCUGCUGCGAUAAAUCUUAGCAGGCUGAAGCAAAACACAACAGAAAGUGUUGUUUUUAGGAUGCAGGAAAGAGCUUGUGCAGUAGGUCAAACUCAAGGGAAACUGAGGAUGUUGCAUCCUCCAGCACAGGUAAGCCUAAGGAUUAUGUGGUUACAGAUGUGACAAUUGAGAAAACAGAAGAGUAACUUGUGAAUGUUAGUGUAAAAUUACAGAAUGCCGAGAAGUAAUUAUAAGAAUAAGAAUUUAUACCCCGCUCAUCUGGCUGGGUUUCCCCAGCCACUCUGGGUGGCUCCCAACAGAAUUAAAAGCACAAUAAAACACCAGACAUUAAAAAUGUCCCUAAACAGGGCUGCCUUCAGAUGUCUUCUAAAAGUCAGAUAGUUGUUUAUUUCCUUGAGAUCUGAUAGGAGGGCGUUCCACAGGCUGUGCGCCACUACCGAGAAGGCCCUCUGUUAAGACAUAGGCAAACAAGGGUGAGUCUUAAGAAACUUAUUUAUGUUCCAUUACAUAAAUUACAUUUUUACCUUCUGUUGGGAUCCAUCACUUGUAAGCUGCAAACUGCACAGGAAGAAGAAAAAGAAAAAGAAAAGGAGGAGGAAUGUUGUUGCUGUUGUUAAUAAUAAUACCCUGCCCAUCUGGGGACAACGUAGGCUAUGAUUAGCUAAGGGUCAAGCAAGACAAGAUGAUGAAUACAGUGGUACCUCGGGUUACAGACGUGUCAGGGAUCUGCCAUCGGAAGGAAGGGAGGUGAAAGGGCUCACACAGGUUGGGAGAGACUCAGCAGCUGGAAGGGAGGUGAAAGGGCUCACACAGGUUGGGAGAGACUCAGCAGCUGGAAGGGAGGUGAAAGGGCUCACACAGGUUGGGAGAGACUCAGCAGCUGAAGAGGGAACCAGUAGGGGGAGAGAAGCUGAACUGAGGGAAAGUGAGCUGGGGGGAUGGCUCAGAGACACUUCCAGCGAAAACAGUGGGGAGGUUUCAGGACCUCCUGUAGGGACACCCACUCCUCGCCGGAAACUGUCACGCAGAGACUCCAGAAGACGUGUUUCCGUUAAGGAGCUUUUAUGUUGGAAGCGAUUACAAAGCAACCACUGUCGGAAUCUGCUAGUGACUAGAGGAGCCAUGUCUGAGGGGCUCCGUCACAGACAGAGGUUUGUGGACUUGAACAAACUCUGAGGGAAUACGAUUUUACGCACAAGCAGCUCAUCAUCCCAUCACAGCAUUCCGACAGUCUUUGAAAGCAGCUUGUGCAGGAGAAGGCAUCAUGAGCAACCCAGCCGGAACCGGAGAAGCAGGAGCUGGAGCGGGUCCAAGCCUGGAAGAAAGGUACCGGGUGUUGGAGGUCCAGCUAGCGCUGCAGACGGCGAGGCUUGAGGAGAGGAGGACUCAGGAUGCAGACAAAAAGGAGAAAGCCACCCAGCUUGCCAGAAAGGUACCAGGAUUGGUGCAGAAAUUUGGGGGGGAGCCCAAAGACUAUCAUGGCUUUCGGACAGAAAUGCAAUAUGCCCUCAAUCUGCAGUUUGAUGAAUUCCCUGAUGAGGAAUCACGAGUGGCUUUUGUCAUUGGGCAUCUUGAAAAGGGGGCGAGAGACUGGGUUAGACCCCUGAUGGCAGCGCAUAGUGACGUCCUAAAGGACACGAUGAAGUUCUUUCGCGCCAUGGAUCUGAUGUUUUCCAGCAAUAUUGAACAGGGAGUGGUGCGCAGACAGUUAAUGGCUUGCAAACAGGGGAGCCGAUCUGUCCGUGAGUACUGGACUGAGUUCACCAUGCUGGUGCACAGAUUGGGGUGGGACUUAUCGGCGGAACCCAUUCAAAUGCUUUUUGAAGAAGGGCUUUCUUCGGCUGUGAAAGACGAACUUUCCCGGGCGCCCAGGGCGGAGUCUAUGGACCAGCUGACCAAAUCAGCGCUGACCAUAGGAGCGCGCCAGGAGGCGAGAGCUUUGGAGAGGCGGGAAGGGAAGGGGGAACGUUGGAAGGAGUUGCGCAUUCCAGACAUUCCAGAGCCAACUUUCCCGCCGGCAGAGCCGAUGGAAAUCGGAACAGCGCGCGCGCGCGCAGUUUCAAAGCCCAGUAAGGAGGGAAAAGGCGCCCGGAAAUGCUAUCUCUGCCAACAGCCAGGUCACUUUGCCAGAGUCUGCCCCCAGAGGAAGGAAUGGCAAGGGAUGGUGGGGGCUGUGGAGGGAAGAGAGGAAGGAAUACCGGAGCAAGUAAAAGCCAACGCCUGGCUGCCAUUGUCGGGCACAGCAGCCAGGCCAAAGAGCAGUGAGAGUGCCCACGCCAGAACCUCCUAAACCCGCCCUAGUGAUAGAAGUGGCGCUAGAGCUGCCAAACGGACACCCUCUAAAGAUAAAGGCGCUGUUGGACUCAGGCAGCUCCUGCAAUUUCAUGAGCAAGGAGUUUGCAGCUGAACACCAGAUACAGACGAUCCCUUUAAGCAACCCCCUGCAGGUGACCACGAUCGAUGGCAGGGAGCUGUUGGGAGGAGAAGUCAGCUUGCAGACCGUCCCAAUGAUAAUGAAGGUGGCAAGGCACACCGAACGGAUAGCGUUUAAUGUGGCCACCUUGGGAGGAGCUCCCAUUAUAUUGGGGAUGAGCUGGCUAGCGUUACAUGAUCCGCUGGUGGGCUGGCAUCAGAGAGUGGUUUCUUUUGGUUCAGCACAUUGCUUAGAACACUGCAAAGAGGGAAAGGGUUUGGCAGGUACCCAAGCCACCCUAGCAGGGACUGAAGUAACGGAAAACGUGAAGGUACCACGACAAUACGCAGAUCUCCGCGACGUCUUCAGCGAAAGGGAAGCUGACCAAUUACCACCGCAUAGACCCUUUGACUGUCAAAUAAUUUUACUCCCUGGGGCACAGCUCCUGUAGGCAAGCUGUACGCCAUGUCAGACAGAGAGAUGCAGGAGUUAAGAGAGUUCAUUGACAAGAACCUGAAGAGAGGGUUCAUCAGAGAGUCCAGGGCGGUGGGGGGCAGCCCAGUGUUUUUUGUGGACCAAAAAAACACGAACAAGCCGAGACUGGUGUGUGACUUCAGGGCCUUAAAUGCAGUGUCAGAACCAGUGGCCUUCCCUAUGCCCAGGAUUGACGACAUUUUGACAAGGGUGCGGAAGGGAAAGAUUUUCACAAAGCUGGAUCUAAGGGGGGCGUACAACCUGAUACGAAUAAGGAAGGGGGAUGAAUGGAAAACCACCAUGUUCACCCCUUUAGGGGCAUUUGAAUAUUUAGUUAUGCCCUUCGGUCUACAAGCAGGCUCCGCAACAUUUCAAUCGUUUAUGAACCACGUCCUGGGGCCUUUGCUUUACAAGAACUGUGUGGCCUUCUUAGACGACGUGUUGGUGUAUUCUGAGAAUGAGGAGCAGCAUGUGAGAGACGUCAGAGAAGUGUUGAGCAGGCUGCAAGCCAACCAGCUGUGGGUGAAACUGGAGAAGUGUCAGUUUCAUACCAAGGAGGUGGAAUUCCUGGGGUAUCGCCUGUCUGACAAGGGAUUGGCUAUGGAUCCUGGCAAGGUCCAGGCGGUGCUGGAAUGGAAAACACCCAAAACAAGGAAGGAUGUGCAGAGGUUCCUAGGAUUUGGGAACUUCUAUCGUAAGUUCAUCCGAAACUUUGCCCACCUGACGGCGCCCAUUACGGACUGUCUCAGCAGUAAGAAGAAGUUCAUUUGGACUGAGGAGGCGGAGCGAGCAUUUGAGGAACUAAAAAGGGCCUUUGCCUCGGAACAACAACUCCUGCAUGUGGAUUUACAAAAACCGAUGAGAGUGGAAACUGACGCAUCAAACAGAGCGAUUGGGGCGGUGCUUCUGCAGCCAGGGAAGGAGGAGUCAGAGUGGAGACCGUGUGCCUUUUUUUCGCGAAAGCUGAACAAAUCCGAGAGGAACUACACGGUGUAUGACCGAGAACUACUAGCCAUUCAUGAGGCGUUCCGGAGAUGGAGGCACCUGCUAAUUGGCGCACAACAUAAGGUGCAAGUGUGCACUGACCACAAGAACCUAGAGUAUUGGAGGACGGCACGAGUGCUCAACCAACGGCAAGUGAGAUGGGCCCAGGAGUUCUCCAAAUUUAACUUUGAGAUUUGUUAUGUGCCAGGCCCAGAGAACAUUAGGGCGGACGCUCUCUCACGCAAACCUGAAUAUUUGGAAGGGGAGGGAGCACCCGAAGAGAGACAUGUCAUUCCAGAGGACCGCUGGGUGUGUGGGCGGCAUUGGUGGGACAAAGAGAACUGGUAGAGGAAACAGAGAAUGAUGAAUACGCCCAGAAUAAGCUCAGAGGUCUUAGGGGUGAGGGAGCGGAACCAAGGGGUUUCGAGGAAAGAAAUGGAGCUUUGUAUUACAAAGGGGCACUGUAUAUCCCUGAAGGAGACUUAAGGGGGAGGGUACUCAAGCAGUUGCACGACAGCCCCACGGCGGGGCAUUUUGGACAACACAAAACCAUGUGGUUGGUCACCAGGGAAUUUUGGUGGCCUAAGGUGAGGGAAGAUGUACGUGAGUAUGUAAGAGGGUGCGAGCAAUGCCAGCGAGCCAAAGGGGAAAGGCGGGCGCCGGCGGGGCUAUUAGAACCCUUACCAACCCCAGAACGACCUUGGGAGGCAGUGUCGAUAGAUUUUAUGACUGAUCUGCCGAAGUCCAAAGGGAAAACAGCCAUCAUGGUGGUGGUAGACCUACUAACAAAGAUGUGCCACUUUGUAGCUUGCUCGCAUGCAGUCACGGCGGAAGAGACAGCGAAGUUAUUUGUAGAACACAUUUUUAGGUUGCACGGGGUGCCAUUGAGGGUGGUCUCAGACCGAGGAAAACAAUUUACUUCCAGGUUCUGGAGGAAGCUCAUGAGCUUACUGCAGGUGGAGGUCAACUUUUCGACUGCUCGGCACCCUGAAACCAACGGGCAGGCGGAAAGAGCAAACGGUGUCCUCCAGCAAUACCUGAGGUGUUAUGUCAAUGACAGAGAGAAUGACUGGGUAGAAAAGUUGGCGCUGGCGGAAUUUGCCUACAACAAUGCCGAGAAUGUGUCCACAGGGAUGAGCCCCUUCUUGGCUAAUUAUGGGUGUCAUCCCAGGGCUUUCCCAGGGGGAGAAGGGGAGAGAUGGAGCGUCCCGGCAGCCGAGCAUUUUGUAGAAGAAAUGGAAGCAAUCCAUCGUCAGCUCCAACUCAACUUAGAAAGGGCGAAGGAAGAAUACAAGAGGCAGGCAGACAAGAACCGGAGGGAAGGUGAAACCAUAAGGGUGGGAGAUAGGGUGUGGCUGUCAACCCUCGGGUUGCCGUUCAAAGGAGGUUGUAAGAAAUUAAGACCCAGGAGGUUGGGUCCCUUUGAGGUCAUUCAACAGGUCAACCCAGUGGCUUUCAGGCUCCGGUUACCCAACCACAUGAAACUGCACCCAGUAUUUCACAGGUCGUUACUGUCACCGUACGAGGGGGGACGAGAAGGGAUGGCCACUAGGGGGCCGGUCAUAGAAGAAAGAGAAUGCAGCAGCCAUGUGGCAGAAAUCCUUGACGCCAGGUGGAAGGGGGAUCAGGUGGAGUAUUUGGUAGCGUGGGAAGGAGAACCGGAGUCAGAAAACACUUGGGUAAUAGCCGAAGAUAUCAAUGACGAGGUAUUGAUAGAAACGUUCCAUCAAAGGUUCCCAAGGAAACCUCAGCCUGUGGAGAGGUUCCGGAGGGAAUACUUUGGGACCACUGAUGAGGAGGAGGAGUUGGAAGGAUUCCCGGACUCGGAAGGGGAAGGGGAGAUGGACUCUGAGGAGGAGGAGUGCUUCGAGAUCAGGAACCGCAACAGGUGGAGAGAAGUGUUCGAGACAUCGGAAGAUGAAGGAAGUUCAUUCCGGGGUUUUGCCUCCUCACCGCCCGUACAGGAGGGGGCGAGAGGGGGUGAAGGGGGCCCUGGAGGGGAGGUGGAUGUCAGGGAUCUGCCAUCGGAAGGAAGGGAGGUGAAAGGGCUCACACAGGUUGGGAGAGACUCAGCAGCUGGAAGGGAGGUGAAAGGGCUCACACAGGUUGGGAGAGACUCAGCAGCUGGAAGGGAGGUGAAAGGGCUCACACAGGUUGGGAGAGACUCAGCAGCUGAAGAGGGAACCAGUAGGGGGAGAGAAGCUGAACUGAGGGAAAGUGAGCUGGGGGGAUGGCUCAGAGACACUUCCAGCGAAAACAGUGGGGAGGUUUCAGGACCUCCUGUAGGGACACCCACUCCUCGCCGGAAACUGUCACGCAGAGACUCCAGAAGACGUGUUUCCGUUAAGGAGCUUUUAUGUUGGAAGCGAUUACGAAAGCAACCACUGUCGGAAUCUGCUAGUGACUAGAGGAGCCAUGUCUGAGGGGCUCCGCCACAGACAGAGGUUUGUGGACUUGAACAAACUCUGAGGGAAUACGAUUUUACGCACAAGCNNNNNNNNNNNNNNNNNNNNNNNNNNNNNNNNNNNNNNNNNNNNNNNNNNNNNNNNNNNNNNNNNNNNNNNNNNNNNNNNNNNNNNNNNNNNNNNNNNNNGUUACAGACUCUGCUAACCCAGAAAUAGUACCUCGGGUUAAGAACUUUGCUUCAGGAUGAGAACAGAAAUUGCGCAGCGGCGGGGCGGCAGCAGUGGGAGGUCCCAUUAGCUAAAGUGGUACCUCAGGUUAAGAACAGUUUCAGGUUAAGAACGGACCUCCAGAACGAAUUAAGUUCUUAACCCGAGGUACCACUGUACAUGUUUGCAUUUAACAUGUCUCCUUAUUUCUUCAAAAUUAUAGCCAAAUUGAUCCUGACUAGGCAUGUGGUGUGUGUGUGUUUGUUACCCUUCCUCCAUGGUCCUUGCGAAAAACUGCAUCUCCCCAUAAAAGUGCUUGUUAUCUCUGCAAGAGAAACUUCCACCGCUACCAACAGAAGCUUCCUCCCCGGGCUAGUAGUUGGUUUGCAGGAGAGACAAAUUUUAGGGAGAAUUAUAAUCCGCUUUCCUGUGGACUGUGGUCCUGAUGGUUAUUGGCCUGUGCUGCAGAAGAUACUUGGAAGAAAAGAACCAGAUGUGUGAAAUACAACCACCCUUUUAACGUCAUGUCUAGUUUGCCUGUCAGAGAAUUGUCCAAAGGUUCGUAAUGCAGUUGUACUGCAGAAAUUAAAUACCUACAUGGAUGGAAGACUGUAUGUCAGUGAAAGACAUUCUGAGCUACUUCAGAAGUGAGCAGAGUAUAAGAGGAGUGAUUCUGAAGGCACUCGCCUUAGUAGUCACGUGUAAUGAUUCUAGUGUAAUAAAUGUGAGGAUUACUGAACAAGGUGCAUUGCAAAAUGCAAAAUUGCAGGGCUGCGUGCAAUUUUCUUUUUUGCAAGGGUGAUGGAAAAUAUCUACCAGUGGAAGCAAGCCACUGUCUUCCCUGCUACACCACUGCUGAAAUGUGUGCUUCUGCAAUAGAAUUUUUGAGAUGGAGGAAAGCCUAUAAUAAUAUCACUUUUGUUUCAGUGCUAUUUUUAUAACUGUGUUACGCCUCAGUAGGGGGAAAAGCUCGUGGCGUAGACUGUUUCUAUUUUCGCUGAAAGUGCUGUCAAUAGACUUGCUUCUAGAGGAGAACCUCGAAUUAAUCCUUUAGCCUGUGCAUGCAGUGAAGAGCCAUCUGCCUGAAUGGAAAUACUUUAAGAUACAACGGUGCUUUCUUUUUCCUGAAACAAAGCUGUGAGGGGAAUUAAAAGCCAUAAAAUUCAAAGCUACUAUAGGGACAUCAGAGUAGCCAGGGUCAGUGAAUUACCCUCUGUUAUGUAUUCAGUGGUCUGUGUUUGCCUGAGCUUGAGUCUGGAGACUGAAAGAAUCUGAGCUCCUGUGUUCUGAUUCGAUACAUGAUAUCCAAUCACAGAACAUUUCAGGAUUUGGGCCUCUGCCAUUGGCCCUUAAACUCUGAGUCAUGAUUCGCAGCUUGGAAGUUUAGACAGCCAAUCACGUUGCGAGUGGGAGUUGCCCAGGCCUUCAGAAAUGUAUAUAAGCAGUUGCUUAGCCCCUGUUGUCCAGUUAUGUAGUUCAAUAAAUGUUCUUGCUGUUAUCGCUGUGUCUUGCCUCGCAGGAGCCCACCUAUACUUCACCCUCAAUCAACAGUCUUCAUUUCUGCAGUCAAUAAAUACCUUCCUUAAAAAAACCCUUUUUGCAACCCAGGAUCAUCCUCUGAUCACUUUAUUGUUAUAGAUUUGGGAGCCUCUCCCCAACCCUAGAAAUUAAUAACUUUUAGGAUUUUGGUUAUUUGGGAUGUGGAGGGAGAAAUACAAGCUGCAGAGGAACUCCUGGGCUGGCCUAUGCAAAACGACCUGGCCAUUAAGAAACAUUACAGUGUCAUUGAGGGCCAUUGGCAAUGCAAGAGAACUGUCCUCUCCCCUUGCCCUGAGGUGUGAACAGAAACUGGGGGGUUGGAAGGUUGCCAGGGUAACUGGGUGUGAACUGACAGGAAAAGGGAAGGAAGACUGGGAUCCAUCUUGGGCAGGCUGGCUGAAGGCUGGCUGCACUGCUGUGAGAGAUAAGCUCCUCUUGAAAUGACCAUGCUGUAAGAGUUGGACUUCAGCCAUGCUAACUGAAGGUGUAGAUGGGUUAAUAAACCAUAUUUAUUUUCUUUUUAAAAGUUUUUAUUUAUACUUUUCAAGUUUAUACAUUUCAUUAGUUUUGCAAUCAAUUUAACACUGCAAAGUUUGCCUUCCUUUGCCCUCUUUCUGCGGUUCCUUAAAUUUAUUUUUUAAUAUCUUCUGCAUAUCCAAAUUCGUUUAAUUUGCUCAUUUAAUUAUCUACUUUAAAUAUAUACUCUUAUGAAACUGCAGGUUAUUACUGGUAAUGUUUUUAUUUGUUUGCAAUUUAUCUGUAAAUAUUCAAGAAAUCAUUUCCAUUCUUUUAUAAAAAGUUUGUUAUCUUGAUUUCUUAUUCUUCUGGUAAGUUUUGCCAUUUUUGCAUAUUCCAUAAAUUUUUGUAUCCAUUCUUCCUUUGCUGGGACUUCUGUUUCUUUCCACUUUGGGGCGAGUAGAAUACAUAAAUAAAUUUCUAUACAAUUUAGGUAGUUCUGUCCCUAUAAUUCCCAAAAGAAAAGCUCCUUUUUUAAUAUACAAAAUUUAUUUUGAACAUCCUUUUCAAUUCAUUGUAUAUCGUUUCCCAGUAAACCAUAUAUCCUAAAGCAGGCAUAGGCAAACUCAGCCCUCCAGAUGUUUUGGGACUACAACUCCCACCAUCCCUAACCACUGGUCCUGUUAGCUAGGGAUGAUGGGAGUUGUAGUCCUAAAACAUCUGGAGGGCCGAGUUUGCCUAUGCCUGGCCUAAAGCUAUGACAGUCUUCGCCGUGUCUCAAUUCUCUAAAGGUACACAGACCCUGGCUGAGUGCCUGGAAUCCCAUGGGCUAUUGCCACUGCUCAGCAGAGAGAGGGGGAGGUACCUAACUUUUUAAACAAUAUGUACCUUUUGUUCCCAAGCAUUUGGAAUUUACUCCAUUCCUCAAAGAGCUCUUCUUGAAGCACACCAUGUGUUCCCUGAUAUGUCCUAGGGCUGUGCACCAGAGUUAGCCAAGUCCCGAGCCAAACCUGACCUAUUGGGAUGAAUCCGGGCAUUGGCUGAGUCAGGUUGAGACAGCCCUAGAUCACUACCCAUUGAGUUGGGUGGUCCAGAGUGAUCCAGGGCUGUCAGGUGGUGGGAUAUCAGGCAGGAAUAAGAGGCAGGCUUGAGCGGGAAGAAAGAGAAACCUUGAAAAGGAGGGACCUACUGGGUAUCGGCAUCAUCAACAGGAGAUGGUCAGGUGAUUGUGACUAGAUGCCUUUCCCAAUCAACUUCUUCUUCCUGCCAGGUCUCUCCUUUUUCCUGCCCCUUGAAGCAGCAGCUCAGAGUAUGGUUACCAGAUAUCCCCAUUUCCCGGGGACAGUUCCCGGAUUUAAAAAAAUGUCCCCAGGCAAAAUUCGUCCCCAGAAUGUCCCCGGAUUUCAUUUAAUGUCCCCAGAUUUAUAUUUUAAGUGUUGUGGAUUUAUUAGUAGGGAAUGAAUGUUGCCUGAUUGGUUCAGCGGCACGAGACACAUCAUAUGAGGACUUACGGCGAGGCAAAAUGGCGGGCAGCUCCUGAAGCCAGCCAGAGACAACUGCGCUACCAGGCUGGCUGCGGGCUGCUGAGGCUGCUGCUGCAGCUGCCACUGCCGAGGGGGAACCGGGGACGCCUGGCACGUCAACUGGGGGACCCGCUGACCCGCCCCCAGCGACCCAAAUCGAGCUGGGAGUGAAAGCACCCAGCCACCCGGCUGACUGCCCAGUGGUGCUCUGGGGCCAGGAAAACCCUGCAGCUGACGCAGGGAGAAGGAGAAGAGGAGAAGGAGAAGGAAGAGAGAGAAAGAGGAAGGAGAAAAAAGAGGGGAGCCCUGACCUUGCUGCGCCGUCGCCGCUGAGGAGAGGUAGGAGAGCACCGGGAGGGCAAGGACAUGUGGCCGAGCCCAGGCCUGACCCGAGCCUACUCCAUGGCAGCUAGUGCUCCAAGAGAGCAGGCUGGUGCCCGGAGGAAGGCCGCGCGACAGAGGAGACCACAGAAGAACAGGUGUUACUUCUUCUUUUUAAAAAAUAACUUUCCCCCCUCUUUUUUUUAAAAAAGUGUCCCCGGAUUCUUUGAAAAAAUCUGGUAACCUUAGCCCAGAGGAUCACAUCAUUUCUCUGUGCAGUGCUGGUUGUUGUUCCUUUGGGAGCACCUUCCUUGAACACAGGGGAGUCACUCACAAAGUUGCAGCACCCCAUAGGACCGAACUCGCCUGCUCUCUGUAUGGGUUGCAUGGGAGAAGAAGAUGCAGUACCUUCUCCUUCCUCUUCUUCCUCCCUAUGAAAGAUCAGAAAAGAGAAAGGCUUCUUGCGUUGAUGAGGAGAUGAGAGUUUGUUUGUCUCGAAUUAUACCUAAUAUAAAUGAGAUUACAGUGGUGCCUCGCAAGACGAAAUUAAUUCAUUCUGCGAGUUUUUUCGUCUAGCGAAUUUUUCAUCUUGCGAAGCACAAAAUCCCAUAGGAAUGCAUUGAAAUUCAAUUAAUGCGUUCCUAUGGUCAAAAAAAGUCCAAACAAAGCCAAAUUUGGUACAACAAGAGUUUAUUAAGUGCUCUUUAAAGUCACACAUACUGUAAAGAGCAUUUCAAAAAUUGAAGGAAUAAUAAAUUAAGUUUCUAAACAUGACAGAAAAACAUUUAAAAAUCAACAAAGUGUACAGUACAUUUUCUAAGACUCUGGGGACAACUCGAAGAAGGUUCCUCUUCCACUCUUUGCUUCUUGCUGAAGAACCCCUCCUCAACUGUUCCCCAGCCACCCACCACACAGAAAUUCAAAUCCAGAAUUUUUUUUAAAAAACAGCAGAGUGGCCCAAUGGUCACAGAAAAUCAUAAAAAUGCAGGGGGAAAAAACAAGCUUCCAGAUUCUUGCAAACCCCUCCCCAACACCAAGUCCUUGAAUUCCAAACACCCCAACCCAAAAUCCAAAACCCCCCAAAAAAGUUUUAAAAGUUUAAAAGAAGUUUUGGAAAAGCUUCAAAAAUCACCAAAGUCUUCAAAAACCUCAAAAAAGGCUACCACACCAUGUUCUAUGAGUUGCUCCUCGAAGUCAAGUCACAACCGUAUUAACAGUGUUAAGAAAAAGGAAACAAACUUGCAAGACGUUUUCGUUUUUUGUCUUGCGAAGCAAGCCCAUAGGGAAAUUCGUCUUGCGAAGCAGCUCAAAAAACGGAAAACCCUUUCGUCUAGCGAGUUUUUCGUCUUGCGAGGCAUUCGUCUUGCGGGGCACCACUGUACCUGGGAAAAGCAAGCUCACACCUCCCAUUGGCUUUGCAUACAUAUGUAACAGGCUCAUUUAUAAUUUUAUUUUGGGAACGAUUCGUGGUCUUAUGUAACUGCAUUGUUUUAUGUUAUCUGGACAUGCCCCAUGAUCAUAUUAUAAAGUAGUUGUGUUCUAGGUUAUAAAUCAAGAACGGCUGGGAGCUGUUUCUUUUUGUUUUCCAAUGUAUUUCUUAUCAAUAAAUAUUUCAGUGUGACACGAGCAAAUUUUUAUUCUGAAAGGGUAGCCCAGAGGAAAAAAGUUUGAGAACAUGUCCUAAUAGAACAUGAUUCCAGAAGGCAUCUUAAUAUUGCAAAUGUUUUGGUUUUUUUUAAAAAAACAACAACUUAAUUUUCUGCAGAAAGGACAAAUGAGGAUUAAAUGAUUAAAAAAACAACAAUACAUGUAAUGAGUAUGGGUUGCUCGUGCGUAAGUUGCCGCCUCUCCUGGCUAUGUUGCCUUGUUUAAACCUUUCUGUCUGGACAGCCCUUCACUUCGUGGCUGCCUCAGUCGCUAGCAGAAUCCGUCAGUGGGCGUUUCUUAAACCUUUUCCAACAUAAAAGUUGUUUGACGCCAAGUCUCCUCCUACUCUCCCUGCGCGGAAGCCUUCUGCGCAGGGAGGGCAUGGGUAGCGGAGGACCCGGGCUCUCCCCGCUGGUGUCCGGUGAAGAGUCCUGGAGCCCUCUCGCUGAUUCCCCCAUCUGCCCCCCUUUAUCUCUGGUGUUGCGCUGAUUUGCUUCCCCAUCUGCUGAGCUGCCUCUCUCCCUGCUGGGCCCUUCUCCAGCAUCAUUUGAGAGCCUCCCCUCUGCCUCUAGCUCCGAUGUCAGUUCCCUGACAAUACAGGUUGGCAUUUUCAUGCUGAUUAUGAUGUGUGGACACUGUACAAAACUUGCAUGCAUGAGCAGUGUUGGUCUCACAAGAAACACCUGUCUGGAAGUAUCUGCUUAAACAGGCAAGAGCAAAGUGGGACUGUGAAUUUGGGAGGCAAGGAGGUAAGAGGUCCCAUGAACUCCUUGACCCGGGAAAGAAGCUUGGAAGAGACAUUUAGAGCAAAGAAAACAAAUGGGAAGACAGACGGUGGAAGAUAAUAGCCAGAAAGUUCAUGAAAGCAAAGAAAAGCUUUUAAGUGUGUUAUAGAAAAUACCUGCUCCUUUUCCCUUAUGGGGUAUCCAAGAGCCCAUAUAGAGUCCUUAAGUGGGUUCCCUAUUGGUAGGAGAAAAUAACAGAGGCCAAUGAGAGAAUACAGAGAAGGAAAGCAGCUAGAAAGACUGAUCUUUAUUAAACUGUUGCAACAGGGCCCUCACUCAACACAUGCAGGAGGGAGGAGAACCCAGAACAAUGGUGCAUAAGCCCUUAUUUAGAUUUUUGAAAUUGCUCACCCUGUAGCCCAAGACCCCCCCAAAAAAACAACAACAUCAUACACACAUCACAGAAGGAGAUGGUCUACAGCAGAAAUCCAGUCUGCCAGGAUAUCUGUUAAUGGUCACUGAUUGCUUUACCUGGGCAGCCUGGCCAUUCUUUUGUGAUGGUAAAUACUUAAAUUCCUGAAUCCAGGUCAUAGGCUCACCCUCUUCAUACACAGAUAUGGCCUUAAGACAGGUAAGCAAAAGUCAAUGGAAAGGGUCUCCCAUUUCCUUCCUCCUUGCAGAGAAAUGUUUGAGGUCAAUUUGGGAGAGCCAAAAUGGUUUGUGGGAGAGUCAAAAUGGCUUCAGGGUUGCUCUCCUGUACUAUUUCAGACACGUGGUUUAUAUACUUAUGAACGUGUUUGCCUUGUACAUUUAUGGACAUUUAUUUUUUAUUUGGGACCUUAGAAUUCUUAUAACAAGUGAAACGGAAUGAGUAGCUUCGUUAAGAGGAGCAUUGCAAGCCCACCUGGAAUAAUAUCCUGGGCUUUAUAAACAACGUCGUCUACCUAGGCAUAUCCCUCGUCGCAUUUAGCAAGGAAACCUCCACGGUGAAAUAGUUGCUGUGGGAGAGAGAUGAGAAACAUUAACUUAGCUGUUUCUCGACAAGGAAGAGCACAGCUGGCGAGGCCUGCUGUGAAGCGUGGCUUUUACAGCUUGGCGCUGUGUGUAUUUAGCAAAAGCAAACACAUCCUGCCCAGGGUUUUAAAAACACAAUUUGGAGGCCAGCCUCGUUUUGAAGGGAAACGGAGCGGAGAUGGUACGGCUGAAGUGGUCCCCCGAUAAAAAUUGCGCACUGUUGUUGUAUACUCCUGUCUUGGACCAGCCCAAACUGGGGAGGCCUCUCUUCAAAUCCUCGCUCACCCAUAAAGCUCUCGCUGGGUGGCCUUUGGGCAAGUAACUCCCUCAGGCAGAACUGCCUCAGAGGAAUGCUGCGAGCAUCAGAUGGGAUAACUUCAUGCAAGCUCCCUUGGGGAAAGGGUGUGAUAAAUAACAUUGCACAGCGAGAAUAGGACCGGAGCGAAUGGACUGUAGAAUUGGCUAUGGUUAUUCCAACUUGCAACUUGCUUCGCCUCUCUAGGGGAAAAAAAUAUGAACCGGGUUUAGGUGUGCCAGCAUCUUGUAAAAUGAGCCUGUGUGUGGCAUGGGGAAUGCAUGUUUUCCUGGCAGUGCAAGCGAGCCUCACAAGGAUAAAAGAGCACACUGUCCUCUGAGAAUAUUCCUCACAUGUGGCAAAGGCCUUUAGUGUCUGACAUCUGGAAUCGUACUGGAGGGGAUGGCUGUGUUGGUUUUGGGGAGGGAAAGUGCUGUCGAGGCCUCUGGUUCUCUCAGUGCCUUAGGCUGGGUUGUUGUUUAGUCGUUUAGUUGUGUCCGACUCUUCGUGACCCCCUGGACCAGAGCACGUCAGGAACUCCUGUCUUCCACUGCCUCCCGCAGUUUGGUCAAACUCAUGCUUCGAGAACACUAUCCAACCAUCUCGUCCUCUGUCGUCCCCUUCUCCUUGUGCCCUUCAUCUUUCCCAACAUCAGUGUCUUUUCCAGGGAGUCUUCUCUUCUCAUGAGGUGGCCAAAGUAUUGGAGCCUCAGCUUCACGAUCUGUCCUUCCAGUGAGCACUCAGGGCUGAUUUCCUUCAGAAUGGAGAGGUUUGAUCUUUUUGUGGUCCAUGGGGCUCUCAAGAGUCUCCUCCAGCACCGUAAUUCAAAAGCAUCCAUUCUUCAGCGAUCAGUCUUCUUUAUGGUCCAGCUCUCACUUCCAUACAUCACUACUGGGAAAACCAUAGCUUUAAGUAUACGGACCUUUUUCAGCAAGGUGAUGUCUCUGCUUUUUAAGAUGCUGGCUGGGUACUUCACAUCAAAGGGUGAGGCGUUACAGCCUCCUCUAGAAUGGUGAACACUGAGACUGGGAGCUGAGUGCUAAUCCAGACCAGGAUGGGCCAACAGGUUCAGAUUUACAAUCAUGCUUUUUAAUGUUAAGGAAGGGUUUUGAUAAUGUAGAUGGACACAUGACGCCCUACUUUUUAUGUUCAUAAUGUGUUAUUACCUUGUCUUUUUAUCACUUAGUUUAUAAUCGUUUUAUGCUGCUAUAUUGAUGAAACUCUGCUCACAUGUCACCCCUCCAACGGUAUUCACAGGACAGAUAACUAAGGACAUGGAGGGAGGGAGGGAGAAUUAAAAUAUGACACCAAAGGAUGGAGCAGUGCAACCAGCAGCAGGAAAAGAAACAGCGUUUUGGAAAAUGGUGUGGCUGGGUAUUACUUCCAUUUGACGGAAAAAAGCAAGGUAAAAGACAUUUUAAUUAACAAGUAUGCCUUGUGUCAUUUAAGAAUAACAUGAAAAUGCCAACCUAUAUAUAUAUAUAUAUUUGUCAUUUAAUCAUUAUUUGUCCUUUCUGCAGAAAAUAAAGGGUUUUUUUUAAUUGCAAUAUUAAGAUGCCUUUGGAAGCAUGUUCUGUUAGGACAUGUCCUCAAACUUUUUUCUCUGGGCCACACUUUCAUAAUAAAAAUUUCCUUGCGCCACACUGAAAUAUUUAUUGAUAAGAAAUACAUUGGAAAACAAAAAGAAACAGCUCCCAGCCUUUCUUGAUUUAUAACUUAGAACACAACUACUUUAUAAUAUAAUCAUGGGGCAUCCAGAAAGCAUUUAAAGGGGUUCUUCUCGGUGGCCUGGGGACCACAAUUUUCAUAAUACAGUAUUGGUUUUGAUGAUGAUACCUCUGUUGAAGAGACUAAUGUCAUUAAUAUAUAAGCUUUGUUUGUACUUUGAUUUGUAGAACAACAACAAGAAAAAGUUUAUUAAGGGGUCUACUGAGGCCCCCAGAAUUUUCAAGCUCCUGAAAUUUUCAACUGAUAUUCGUGGGGUGGGAAGUGUGUUCGAGAGCUGCUGCCCUAAAGCUUUUUCCCAGGUGGUAUUUUUUAAAAACACACACGCACACAUCAAAAUUAAAGUGUGUACCAUGUUAAGCAGGUUUAAGUGUGCGGUGGGCAAAUAAGCUUAAGGAUUAAACAGGCUAAAUCAUUUCUACAGCUUUAUAAGCUAUUAUGUGUUUUCUCUUUCUAUUUGCUUUGCUUAUAAAAGUUCAAACACUAACUAUCGGGGUUAAGGUACUUUAAUUGCCUGGGUUGUGUACCGAAACAGUUUCUCAUAAGCAGUUUCACAGUAGGCACUUGUUAAUAGUUUUCUUCUCGUUGUAUAAAAUAAGAUGUCGUGUGAGAGAUCAAAUAGUUUGUUCUUCCUCGGCUGUAGCCACUAUGAAUGAGCGGACUCCCAAACUGUAAUCCGAAACCAGAUGCAAAACGCAAAAUUUGAUGGGUUGGAAAACGAAGCCACUGUUUUAUUAAAAGGAGGCAAAUGCAUCUAAAGGGGCACAUCACGGACAAGAAACCCUUAAGGAUCUAUUAAAUAUAGAGACAAUCUAGCUUGUGGUGGGUCAACAGCUUUCAUAAGACUCUUUAGUCUUGGGCUAGCUUACAUACAUUCCUUGAAACAAAUUCUUUGCAUGCCCUCAAGAUGUCUGGAUUCUGACAUCUGGGAAUGUUUUAGAGACAGUCGUUUUACAUAUGCCAAGUUACUAUCAAAUGUCAUGAAUGUACUUCUGUUUCCAGCGAUUUGCUAUUUGCCGUUUAGUGCCAACUUGGAAUGGUACGGUUCAUGAGCCAGAAAUGAAUUUUGUUUCUCUCGCAGCUACUGCUUAUUUAAUUAGCGAGUACAGUGGACAGUUCUUGGUUUUACACCCGGAUCCGAAUGUUACUUACUUGGAAGUCAGUUGCAUUCAUUUCAAGGGAACAUACUUCCAAGUACAGCACUAUUGCAGGAAGGGAAAAUCUGCAGACCUUGGGAUGUUAUUGAACUACAGUUCCCAUCAUUCCUGACAACUGGCCAUGCUGGCUUGGGCUGAAGGCAGUAAUAUCUGUAAUAUCUGGACUUGGCUCAGGACCACAAUAUCUCAAGGACCGCCUCUUUCCAUAUGAACUUACACGGACCCUGAGAUCAUUUUCUGAGGCCCUUCUUUUUGUGCCUCCUCCUCAAGAGGUCCAGAGGCUGGCAACACGAGAACGGGGCCUUCUCUGCAGUGACUCCCCAUCUGUGGAACGCUCGCCUGGUGCCUUCAUUAUGUACCUUUAGGUGCCAGGCAAAAACGUUCCUUUUUAACCAGGCCUUUGGUUGAUCCAGUUUACAUCCUAGGCCCCUUUAAAAAUUUGUGGGGAUUUUUUUGGGGGGGGGGCUAUUGGGUUGUUGUUUUUAUUUUUAUUACGUCUUUUGUGGUUUUAUAUCUUGAUUUUAUUCUAUGACCCCUGGGUUUAGGGUGGGAUACAAAUUCAAUAAAUAAUAAUGAUAAUGUUAAUAGGUUCCCCAUCCUUGUGCUAUAGUAAUUUCCCACAGCAACUACUGCCACUGCCGCUCUUAAAUGAAACAUGAACACAGCGUCGCCUUUAAGUGAUAUGUGCCACAUAUCAUCUAGUUUGGCUCAAACUCUAUAAACAAAAGAAAUGAAAACAAAACUAUGGUGUUUUUUAUUAGAGGGUAACUAAAUGGUUUCUUAUCACUUCUCCAACGACAAUGUGUCUCAGCGUUUGAUUGAAGGGAGAUGAGCUGGAAAUAAAAAAGAGAGGAAAUUUAAAGCCCUGUCUUGUUGCAGAAGUUUAAUUUAACUGGCUUGUCACUCUUGCUUUGGUAAUAAUGGUCCUAUCGUGCUUUUCGAAGAGUAAAUGUUGAAUAAAAAAGUGGACUCAAGGCAUUUGUCAUUCUGUAAUUCAUUGCAGAAACCUAUGAGUUUUAUUGUGUCAAAUUAGUCUUUUGUUAGUAGUUUUAAAUUGUGCUUUAAUUUUCUUUUAGAAAACCCUUAAAUGCAAUUUCUCCCUUAAACAAUAGCUUUCUUGGAAGCUUAAAAAAUGACUUACCUUUUUGUCCUUUCUUUACUUUGUUGAGGACUAAUUAUUUUGCUUUAAUAAGGGAUUUGCAUAGUGAUAUAAGGCUGGAGAUUUCAAUUUUUUACGCAUAACUCUACAAACAGGAGGGCGCUUUUCACAUUGUCACCAGCACAUAAAGAAGACUUAACCAGUUGAAAAUGCAAAAUGCACAUUAUCACAUGUGCCCUAGUCUCCAAGCAGUGAGAUGCUUCAUACCUCAGAUUUGGAAUGAAGGUCACUGGAGAUGGUGGUGUCUUUGUGAGAUAUGGUUCUAUUUACAUAUAUAGUGAGGCAGAACAUAAGACAAAAGGACUCACAGCAUUAAUGGGACUAUUGCAGUGGUUUCCAAGCAGUGUGUUGUGGCACCCUGGGGUGCCUUGAAGGAUAGUCAGGGGUGCCACGGGCAAAUCUGGCCUCUGUGCCUCUUUCCUUCCCUCCCUUCCUCUGAUGCCCUCUUACAUCUCUGCCUCCCAAAGGCUUGCACAGCUGUUUGUUGCAGCAGCCCUGGCUACAAGCUCCUCAGGCGAAUGGUGCCUCUGGGACUGGCCAGGGGGUGCUUCCCAGGCUCCUGUGGGGCAGUGUGAGGAGGCACAUCUCUUUGGGGCAGAGGGGGGCAGCUCAGAGACCAGGGGUGGCAGCAGCGACUGCCCAGAGGACUCCCAAGGGGAGGGGAGAGGAGAGGAGGCUGAGGGAAUACUCCACAAGGGAGGGUGUUCGAAAAAGGGCGUGAGACUGCCGGCUCUGCAGGCAAGGGGUGACAUAACUGGGCUCCUGAGCCCCACAGGAGUGCUGCAGGAAGAAUGUAGUUGGUCAAGGGAGACGUGGACUCAAAAAUUGAAAACCUCUGGAGUUGUCAGGAACGUGCCUCCUCCCCCCACCAUACCAAGAGAGUCAGCCUCGGAAAUUGAGCUGAGUGAGGAAGAGGCUGACCCUAUAGCUGAGAGCUGUCUGCCUGAUUUUAAAGAGAACAGCCCGGGGCCCCUCCUUUCCAGGGAAGAAGUGGUUAGUUCCCAAGGGGAGGAAGAGUUGGAUGUUGACCAAGGUGUUGCCAGGCAACCAGCAGAUAAGGUGGUGUCAGAGGCUGAAUCUUCUGAGGAAGAGGUAGCUCGGCCCUGCAGUCCAAAACCAUGGAGAUCAGAGAAGCUCCGAGAGAAGCGGAAAGGAAGGAAAGGCGGGAUUUUGGCGUUCUUCCUGUUGGGAAAGGAACGAUGAGUUAGUCUGAGCAACUAGAUUAAUGGCAGCAAAUGCUCUGCAUGAGUUUUCCUUUUAAAUAAACUUGUAUAAAACUAAUGCUUGCUGCUUUAUCAGGCUGCUCACCUGCCAGAGAUCAUUAUAGGACUAUUGUGAUUGGGUUAAAGCCCCCUCCCUCAACAGUCUUAACCCAGCUCCCCCCUCCCAAUGCUCACUCUUGUGUUCACACUGCUGGCUUAAAAUACAGCCAGGUUGUUCUUAUUCUGUUUGAAGCUGGGGGUUUUGUUGUGGGCGGGAAUGCAUCAAAAUGCAUCAUUUCCUAUGAAACAGCAGGAUGAAUGCAUAGUAGAGAUGGAUUGUGACUAUUGUCAUGUAUACACAGCUUCCUUAACCAGCAGUGGGGGUGCAGAGUAAAUAAGGGUGCAUGGACAAAACAUGUGUAUUUAGUGGUGUACCAGCUACAAAGUGUCAAGGUGCAGGAUGAAUACCCUGUCUGGUUUGGCCUUCUGCAUCUCUGCAAAAGGAAUAGUUGUCAGCUUUUAGAGAACCCGCUGAUUUUACCAGGAUCAAACCCAAACGUAACAUCCAAUAUAUACACAUAACCCCACUUGCCAUGAAUGGCAUCGUCGUGAAGUUUCUCUGAGCUCAAAAGAGGCUGUGUUUUAUUGCCAUUCUGUUACACAGCGCUAGUUAGGCUCUGAUGGAUUAUCCCACGUGUAUAGACAAUAUUCCAUAUCUCCCCCAUAAUGCUUACAUCCUGUCCUGCAGUUUUACAGAUGUGUUAUAGCUGGAAGUAUUUUAAAAAAUAACGUGACGGAAAGGACGGGAAACAUAAGUAAUCAGGCAGAGGAGCCGCAUAAUGAACCGCUGUUGCAAACAAAAUGAGUUUCUUCGCGAAUAUGAUCAACUGAAAUGGUUGCAACAAAUCAGAGAUUGCGGCAGCACCACUGCAGUUUUGAAGAAUUAUGUUUAAUGGUCAUAUUUACCAGCACGUACAUGAUUCUUCCCAUCCACUGGGCCUAAACAACUCCACAAGAAUUAAUUAAGCUUCCCAUCAUUUUAUUUAUUUAUUUAAAAAAGCUAUCUAUGGGGGUAGGAGGAAAGAAUCUGAGUUGCUAACCUUGUUUUAGAGAUGAUAAGAAGAGAAAAAGACAGAUGGACUUGUUGAAUUUCACUGCAGAGUUUCUCCUACAACACAAUUAUGGGAAAGAGGACAUAAUGGGGAAGUGAUAAGGGGAGGGUGAGCGGAUUGCCACUCUGGCCCUCUCCUUGAUUUAUUUUCAGGAACUUCUUCAUCUGUUGAAGGUGGCCAAAGCUGGUUAGAAUGCAGGAGGUGGCUUUCUCUGUGGGGUUGGCCAGAUGCAAAAGAGGACUUAUCCUGCCCCUUUAAUAGCUGUACAGUGGUACCUCGGGUUAAGUACUUAAUUUGUUCCAGAGGUCCGUUCUUAACCUGAAACUGUUCUUAACCUGAAGCACCACUUUAGCUAAUGGGGCCUCCCGCUGCCGCCGUGCCACCGGAGCACAAUUUCUGUUCUCAUCCUGAAGCAAAGUUCUUAACCUGAAGUACUAUUUCUGGGUUAGCGGAGUCUGUAACCUGAAGCGUAUGUAACCUGAAGCGUAUUUAACCCGAGGUACCACUGUAUAAGAAGAGAGAAUUCCUUGUGUAUUUUCCUGCAUCAUACUUACAAUGCGUGUACAUCAAAUGUGAACGACAGUUUGUACAUCUUGAGUACAACUCGUAUACCCCUCUCUAGGAAACAAUACCCAAGCAGUUUGGCGUCAUUUGAAGGCUUAAGGAUGCAUGUACAUCACUGUAUGAAAUCUCCAUGCAAUACCACAAAGGGCCACCUCUCUCCCUAUGUACUGCCCCGGACCCUGAGAUCAUGAUCUGAGGCCCUUCUUCAUGUGCCUCCUCCAUGAGAGGUUCAGAGGGCGGCAAAACAAGAGCGGGGCCUUUUCUGUGGUGGCUCCCCUUUUGUGGAAUGCUCUCCCUACAGCAGAGAGCAAGGCAUAAAUGUUCCUCUUCAACCAGGCCUUUGCCUGAUCGGCAUCAUUUUUAUUGUGUAUUUUGUGUUUUUUUAAUAUUGUAUUUUUAUGCUGUGAACCAUCCUGAGAUCUACGGAUGAAGGAUGGUAUACAAAUUUAACAACCAAACAACCAAACAAACAAACAAUUUGCUCUGGGAAACAUCCUGAGACAACUGUAAGUGCUUGACACUGCCCAGAUAAUGUGAACUACAGUUCUACUCAUUAAGAUACAUAGAAUUAUUAAGGCUCUCUCGAAGUCUUUAGAUUAAAAAGAAAGAAAAGUAAACGACACAGAUGUAAUCCUGUAAUCAGUAACAAGGGGAAAAUGCAAGAUUUAUCCUGACAUUCAGCUUGGAAAAUAUUCAUGUGUUGUCAAUGCCGCUGUAAAAAUUCAAGACACACCACAAGUUCAGUCGAGCGUCACAAUUCACUCUGAGGUAAACAAAGAAGGCACUUAUCUGCCUAAAUCUGGACAGCUUCCCUGUGGAGAAAAUCAUGUACUGUAUAUUACUGCAGCAGAAGAAUGCAAACAUUCAUCACCCAAAGGUGUGCAUUCACCUUCUAGUUCUACAGAGUAAAUGGGACGCUUCUGCAGUCUCAUUAGACUGCGCUUAUUACAGAUGUCAUCUCAAUGGAAGGAAACAUCUACUCUGAUUUUAUAGCUGUAGGGUGCUAGCGCAGAGACUUCUCACCCAGCUACCACAGGGUAUAAUGGUGCAACAAAAAACAGCCUCCGACUAGCCCAAUACAGGCAGCGUCGUUCAUGUCGCAGUAGUCCGAUGGCAAAGAUAUGUCAACUUUGACGGCUGGGUAUUUAUUUAGCAAACUCUUAUCGUGCUCUUCCAGGGUAGAUCUGCAGUCAGGGUUUUUAACGUUAGGGAAGGGUUAAAGAAUGGUUUUGAUAACGCAGAUGGAUACAUGAUGUCUUGCUUUUUACAUUCAUAAUACUUUGUCCUUUUUAUUGCUUCAUUUUUAAUUGUUUUAUGCUGCUAUAUCGGUGAAGAACUGCUCAUAUAUCCCUAUGUAGUGUUUCUGAGCGCUCUGGUUUCCAUCACAGUGAAGCGUUGCGCCAGAAGCGGUUUAGUCCUUCUGGCCACAUGACCCGGAAAGCUGUCUGUGGACAAACGCCAGCUCCCUCAGCCUGAAAGCGAGAUGAGCACCACAACCCCAUAGUCGCCUUUGACUGGACUUAACCAUUCAGGGGUCCUUUACUUUUAAUGUAGUGUUUUACCUUUUCUUUUACCGCAUUCAAACUUGGACUGGCCUCCAAUGGUAUUCGAGGGCAUUCAAAUUAAAUUUGAAAGGCUGAUGUGCACAGAUAACAAAGGACACAGAGGGAUGGAGGGAGAAUUUAAAUCAGCCCCACCCCCCAAACUCAGGCCUCCAGAUAUUUUGGGACUACAUUUCCCAUCAUCCCUAACCACUGGUCCUGUUAGCUAGGGGUGAUGGGGGUUGUAGUCCCAAAACAUCUGGAGGGCUGAGUUUCCCUAUGCCUGAUUUAAAUGUUACACCAGAGGGUGGAGUAGAGCAACUAGCGACCAGCAGGGAAAGAAACAUCAUUUUGGAAAAUGCUGUGGUUCGGUAUUACUUACAUUUGAUGGAAAAAACCAAGGUGGAUGCCCUGUGAUAUUUUAGAACGACAUACAGUCCUACCUUGGAAGUAGAACGUAAUCCGAUCCGUUCAACUUCCAAAACGUUCGGAAACCAAAGCGCAGCUUCUGAUUGGCUGCAGGAAGAACGUUCACAAACUAGAACAGUCACUUCCGGGUUUGGGAGCCAAAACGUUCAAGAACUAAGCUGUUCGAAAACCAAGGUAUGGCUGUAUCUAAUACCAUUCUAAUGGGGGAAAUAAUGUUAAACAAGUUAGUGUAGACCCAGCCCUAGUGUAUGUAUGCUUCUCAGGGUGGCUUGCAUUAAUUAAAAAACACAGCAUCAAUCUUAUACUCAGUAAAAUAAAAUGCAGUAAGAAGAGGCUGUAGAUAAAACAUAGCCUUAAAAUACAAAAUAAGGUAAUUAGCAAGGCAAAAGCUUGCAAAAGGAAUAAAAAUGUCGUCACAAACAUUUGUGACAACAGCCAGCCAGAGAUGGACUCUACCCUGCUUUUUAAGGUGUGUUCCACAAUUGGUUCCAGCCACUGAAAGUCCUCACUGCUUGUCAACAUCAGCCAAUGGUUGGUGGUAACCAGAGGCAACUGCCAUGACUCCCAUCUUAGGUGAGACACAGAGAAAGGCCUUUUCAUCUGAUCUGAAGGAGCAGGCAGGUUGGUAAGGAGGAUAUAGUUUCCAAUUGGAUGAGGGACCGCAUGUUGAAAUUCCUACAUUGCUCAGGGUUGGGCUAGAUGACACUUGGGAUCGCAUCCAACUCUAGAAUUCUAAAAUUUUAUGAUUCUUCAGUGCUGCAGUCGCAGGUCCCAUGAUUCCAGUCUCAGUCUAGAAUACACCCUGUCUUUCUUCAUCAUCAUCUUUGGAAAUCACUUGUAGUCGAGUAAGAUUGUCUUCCGUAAACAUAGUCUUAACAGUGAGUCCAUAAGUGACUGUGGAGGCCAAUUCUGGAUCCACACGUCCUUCCACAGUGGGGACAUAGGUUUCCAGGCUGGAGUCGAUCAUGGUGUUUGCCAAAUAUGCCUUCCUCUUAGCACAUUUCUCCCUUUCAUCCUGAGUUUGAGCGUCUUCAAAGCCCAUGACACCUUUGGUAAAGGCUGUUCUCCAACUGGAGUGCGCACAGGCCAGUGUUUCCCAGUUGUCAGUGUUUAUACUACAUUUUAAGAUUUGCCUUGAGAGAGUCUUUGAACCCCUUUUGUUGACCACCAGCAUUACGCUUUCCAUUUUUCAGUUUGGAAUAGAGUAGUUGCUUUGGAAGACGAUCAUCAGGCAUCUGCGCAACAUGACCAGUAUAUUCCCUGUAGCCCAGCCUUGAGACCCAAGGCCAUCUAGUGAGGUCACCUGAGCCAAGUUGAUGUAUGAUUCUGUGUUUAAAGUGGGGACUUUCCACUGGCCGAAACAGGUCUUGAGCUUCUUUCCACAGACCAACGCUGGAAUCUCAAGUCUCAGCUCUUGUUUCCAGCGCUUUCAGCUUCAAAAGGAAGCGCUGGCUCCUUUGCAACAGCUACAGAAGAGGUGUAUUUACCAAACCAUUGCUGGCAUGAUUUUUUUCCUUGGGAGGAGUCAAGGCCAACUUUUUCUUGGCUGGGCUCCCCAUGCCCUUUAAACAGCUGCACCACAAGCAGAAGUUAUGUCAGGGAAGUUUGGUUUGCCAUUUGGAUGCAGUAAUCGGGAUAUCUCAGCAUCUGUUGCCAGCCCAAGUCUCUGCUACCAACCCAACCAGUACAAGAGGCUAUAGGGUCAGCUGAUUGUCUUUCAGGCCCGGGGUUGCCUUUUUGUGAAUUUUUAAAUUAAGUUUCCCCAAAUUUCACACAUACAUUUCAAUACAUAAAACCUUUUCCCAUUUCCCAUCCCCUUUUCCAUGGUGUUUCUAUUUCGCUCCCUGUUCUGCCCCCCAUCUUCUAUCUCUUAAACCUUAACGAAACUACGAUAACCUUCAAUCCCUUCUGUCGAUCAUAGUUCAAAUUCUGAUCACAUGUUCAUCAUAUAAUAGUAUUUCUUCUAAGGAUCCGAAAAGGGUUUCCGUUCUUCCACAAAACCAUCGUCAUUGGGUUCUCUUAUUUUAGCUGUUAACUUGGACAGUUCUGCAUAACCCACCACCUUUCUUACACAUUCUUCUUUAGCGGAUAUUUCUGCUUCUUCCCAUUUUUGUGUGUAGAGUGUUGUAGCUGCAGUUGGGGCUGCCUUAAUGAUUUUUAUUAUUUUCAGUAAGGAAAGUGACAGGAAAAUCCAGCGGAAAGUGUGGGAUAACAUUUGCUUUAAGCUACAUUAUGUAAUGUUCCUGCAAUGAAAUCCAAAUGAAUGCUCAAUAAACAGCCAGCAACACCAAGGUUGCAGGUUCGAGCCCCGUAUGGGUAAUAACACCAAGGUUGCAGGUUCAAAUCCCACACUGCAGGGGGUUGGACUAGAUGAUCCUCAGUGUCCCUUCUAACUCUAUGACUCUAUGAUUCUAUGAAUAUACAGCCAAUGUUGUGCAGACAAAUCAGGAUGAAGGCACAGAAGCCUUGGUAGUUAAGCGGAUCAGACCUCAAUCAGCCGGUAAAGCUAAAUGUAUAUUGGCUAGGGGAACAGUGGUUUCAACUGUGAUUCACUGGGCGCAACUGGUCUUCAGCAAGAGAGGAUCAAUUCAGUCAUCUGGUGGGCAGGAAUUGACAGCCAAUUGAUACUGUAAGUUGGCAUCCAUCUGUCUCAGGAGACAACGAUCCCAGGGCCAACAUUGAUGCCGAAAUCCAGCAUCGACUGAGCUCUGCAAGUACUGCUUUCUCCCGAUUGAAGUGCAGAGUGUUUGAGGACCAGGACAUUCGCAGGGAAACCAAAAUGCUUGUUUACAAAGCUGUUGUACUACCAACCUUACUAUAUGCUUGUGAAACAUGGACCACUUAUAAACGCCAUCUCCAACUCCUCGAAAGAUUCCAUCAACGGUGUCUCCGAAAAAUUUUACACAUCACUUGGGAAGACAGGCGAACUAAUAUCAGUGUACUGGAAGAAGCAAAGAUCACCAGUGUUGAAGCAAUGGUUCUUCAACAUCAACUUCGUUGGACUGGUCAUGUUGUGCGAAUGCCUGAUGAUCAUCUUCCAAAGCAACUACUCUAUUCUGAUUUUACAGAUAUAAAUUUAUAACAAAACCAAAUACAUAUCAGUAUAAAGAGAUUUAUCUGAAUCUCCAGACUUCCCCCCAACUCCUCCAUGAGUCCUAUUGUCAACUUUUUCAACUGCAUAUUAUUUCAUAAAGUAUAUUUUAUAUCUAUCCAUACUGUCCAUAGUAUUUGCUACAUUACAAGUGAAAUUAAAAUCUAGCUAAUGUUUUCAUCUGCUUACAGUAGUCUCCUAAAUAAAUUAUAAUUUCCCCCCAGUUUUUGUCUUCUUGGUCCUUCAGUUUUCCGGACAGUUUUGCCAUUUCGGUGAAGUCUAACAGCUUGGUUUGCCAUUCCUCUCUGGUAGGGAAUCUUUCUUCUUUCCAUCUCUGGGCUAAUAGCAUCCGUGCUGCUGUUGUGGCAUACAUGAAGUCUUUUCUGUUCCUUUGGGAUGUUGGUACCUACAAUCCCUAAUAAGGUGGCUUCUGGUUGUUGUUUUUUACAAAAGUUAUUUUAAACUUUUUUCUUCAUUACAUUGUAUAUUAUUUCCCAGAAAGCCUUUAUUACCUUACACGACCACCACAUAUGAUAAAAGGUACCUUCUUUUUCUUUGCAUUUCCAGCAGGUAGUUGUGCUUGUUUUAUACAUUUUUGCUAGCUUACUAGGAGUCAAAUACCACCGAUACAUCAUUUUCAUAUAAUUUUAUUUCAGUGUACAACAUGCCGUAAAUUUCAAAUCUGUUUCCUUUCCCAAUCUGCAAUCUGAAUAUUAUGCCUCAAAUCCCUUGCCCAGUGUGUCAUUACAGAUUUAACCUGUUCAUCUCCUUCUCACUUUUCUUGAGCAGUUGCUGGGAUAAGAACCAGGGAAAACCGGCUUGUUUCUCAUAUCGGCUGUGCGAUGGCUGUGUCCCGUCAUCAUGGCACCAGCCUGCCUUUGUUUUCUAUAUUUUAUCACUCCUGCCUAUUUUCCUGUAAGUUGUCGGGCCACAUGGCGCCGCAACACACUGAGGUGGGUCUGAUAAUCCUGUUUUGUGUGUGCGCAAGGCUGCUUGUAAUGUCAAUGAAGCCUUACAGCUGUAAUCAAAACGUAGAGUGCUUAUCAUCUCCAACCUCUUUGAGUACAAAUAUUAUGCGGUGUGAUUAAAGAUAACUGCUAUAGUAAACAUUAUGAAUUAAUUGGAUGACACAUUCCAGGGUUAUAGAUGGGAAAUAAUGUGAAGUUACCAGCUUUUGAAAUUCCAGCUGUCUGAGCAGCAGAAAUGACCAUACAGUGGUACCUCAGGUUACAUACGCUUCAAGUUACCAACGCUUCAGGUUACAGACUCCGCUAGCCCAGAAAUAGUACCUCGGGUUAAGAACUUUGCUUCAGGAUGAGAACAGAAAUCAUGCUCUGGCGGCGCAGCAGCAGCGGGAGGCCCCAUUAGCUAAAGUGGUGCUUCAGGUUAAAAACAGUUUCAGGUUAAGUACGGACCUCGGAACGAAUUAAGUAAUUAACCCGAGGUACCACUGUAUUAUUAAAUUGCUGCUGGAUGGGGGGCGGGGUUGAGAACUGACAGGAGAACCAGAAAGUGUCUGUUCCAUUUUCACCUGAAAACACCUUGGCAUAUUUCAGUGAAAUUUUCAUUGUCCUCAAAUUUUCUUCUAUUUCCCAUCCAAAACGCUAGACAGAAUUUUGCACAGAGUCCAAAGUCUCGGGGAUCAGAGCUUAAGGAAGCUGCCCAGUCUUGGAGCAAAGUUGCUGUGCAAUUAUUGCGCUGCACAGAUCAGGGAAAUUUCCAGCCGGAUUGAGAUCAUGUUUAGGCAGUCGUUCCCCCUCUCUAUAUUUCCCCUAGACCUAGCGGCUAAGAGCCCUGCCCCUAACUCUGCCAAGAGUCCCAUGGGUUUGGGAUGCUCAGUGCUAAAUAACACUUUAUACAGACACUUUCAAGAGGCACAGAUCUGCCUGAGACUGUGAUUAUUGUGUCCCAGACUUGGGGUGAAAAGCAGAAAUGCUUUGGAUUUCCGUGUGAUCUGCUGAAAUCAAAGCCUGCUAACGUACAGCAUUUUCCAUUUUUGGGCUAACAAAACACGGGCCACAACAGUAGCAUACAUAAAUAACCUUUUUUGACACCUGGGAAUUUCCAUCUGGAUUAUCUCCAACAAAAAGGACUCUGGUUUUUUGUGGGUUUUUUUUGGAAAAGUACUAUUAAACAUUUUCCCCCAAUUCAUUAUGAAUUAUUUCCCAAUACUCUUUUACAGGUCCACCACAUAUGAAGGAACUGCUUUCUUGACUGUUGGACCCACUCUUGUCCGUUUAGUCUGUCAGAGCCUGUAUUCACAUGCAGGAAGAAUCCCAAACUCACCGAGAGUUUGAGACCAAAAAACAUAUCCAAUGUCAGGAAUGAGCCAGCUCCCAGCGAAGGUUUGCAGCCAACUGCAGAAAGCAGCCAGGAACAGAGAAGCUUUGAUGUUAGUCAGACAGGGGAGAGCCGGCAGCUGCAGACUUUGACUCUGCCUGACCUUGACGGGCUGGCUGAUGAGGCAGCGGCUGAGAGCAGGCUGGAACACAGCCAAAGCUCUCCAGAAGCUCAAAUAGGCACAGGCAGACACAGAGAGAGUCUACUGGAAAUGGAAGGGGUUGGAGAUGAUCUAAUCAGUCCAAGAAGUCGGCGAAUGGGAGGUCUUCUAGACAGGAAGCAAAACAAAAGACGUAAGGUAUGAAAGUACAAUAUAUUCUGUAGGCACAGGAAGCAGUCUUCAGAAGGGUCAUCUUGAGUGAUAAUGCUGGCAGC